CUGACUUGUAACUGGCUCCAAUCGGUGCCAGAGGUGGUACCCAUUAAAAGGAAAAAGAUGGGAUGAACCUCCAAUCUUUACCAGUAUAGUUCUGUACUCUCUUAUUUUGGCAAAGCAAAAACAAAAGAAAACAGAGUCAUCAACAUCUUAAAAGAAGCUGUAAAUUAGUAAUGGGUGCCCUCAUUCCAUUUCAUCUAAAUGUCCAAACAGUUCUUUCCAGUGAGAUGAUGCUUCUUCUGGCGUCCGAAAUGUCCAAAUGUGAGGCUUGGCUUUCUCAUGAGUGUCUAAAAUUUCCUGAAUUUGGGAAGACUUUUUGGUCUUGAGGAUUAAACAAUCUACCAGAGCACUCCAUUUAGCAGAACAAUUAUCAAGAACUCCUAGCCUAUAAUACUGCUGCA
This 398-nucleotide unclassified non-coding RNA is filed under the name Hevea brasiliensis (rubber tree). The record is from RNAcentral. Lineage: Eukaryota; Viridiplantae; Streptophyta; Magnoliopsida; Malpighiales; Euphorbiaceae.